RNAcentral lists this small nucleolar RNA (64 nucleotides) under Euglena gracilis. RNAcentral describes it as "Eg-m167 box C/D methylation-guide". Lineage: Eukaryota; Euglenozoa; Euglenophyceae; Euglenales; Euglenaceae. The record is from RNAcentral.
GCUGUGAUGUUUUCUCAGAAUCUGACCCGAUUUGAUGUGCAUUUCUUCACCAGACAGCAACUGA